GGGCCCAUAGCUCAGUUGGGAGAGCGCUUGAAUGGCAUUCAAGAGGUCGUCGGUUCGAUUCCGUCUGGGUCCACCA
This 76-nucleotide transfer RNA is filed under the name Peptococcaceae bacterium 1109. RNAcentral's name for it is "tRNA-Ala". It matches the Rfam family "tRNA". From Rfam's summary of the family: Transfer RNA (tRNA) molecules are approximately 80 nucleotides in length. Their secondary structure includes four short double-helical elements and three loops (D, anti-codon, and T loops). RNAcentral also lists the same sequence under 2 other names. The record is from RNAcentral. Lineage: Bacteria; Bacillati; Bacillota; Clostridia; Eubacteriales; Peptococcaceae.